CAUGCAAGUCGAACGAGAAUCUUUGGAAUGAUUCUUUCGGGAUGAAUUCUAAAGAGGAAAGUGGCGGACGGGCGAGUAACGCGUGAGUAACCUGCCCAUAAGAGGGGGAUAAUCCAUGGAAACGUGGACUAAUACCGCAUAUUGUAGUUAAGUUGCAUGACUUGAUUACGAAAGAUUUAUCGCUUAUGGAUGGACUCGCGUCAGAUUAGAUAGUUGGUGAGGUAACGGCUCACCAAGUCAACGAUCUGUAGCCGAACUGAGAGGUUGAUCGGCCGCAUUGGGACUGAGACACGGCCCAGACUCCUACGGGAGGCAGCAGUGGGGAAUAUUGCGCAAUGGGGGCAACCCUGACGCAGCAACGCCGCGUGCAGGAAGAAGGUCUUCGGAUUGUAAACUGUUGUCGCAAGGGAAGAAGACAGUGACGGUACCUUGUGAGAAAGUCACGGCUAACUACGUGCCAGCAGCCGCGGUAAUACGUAGGUGACAAGCGUUGUCCGGAUUUACUGGGUGUAAAGGGCGCGUAGGCGGACUGUCAAGUCAGUCGUGAAAUACCGGGGCUUAACCCCGGGGCUGCGAUUGAAACUGACAGCCUUGAGUAUCGGAGAGGAAAGCGGAAUUCCUAGUGUAGCGGUGAAAUGCGUAGAUAUUAGGAGGAACACCAGUGGCGAAGGCGGCUUUCUGGACGACAACUGACGCUGAGGCGCGAAAGUGUGGGGAGCAAACAGGAUUAGAUACCCUGGUAGUCCACACCGUAAACGAUGGAUACUAGGUGUAGGAGGUAUCGACCCCUUCUGUGCCGCAGUUAACACAAUAAGUAUCC
This 820-nucleotide ribosomal RNA is filed under the name uncultured bacterium. RNAcentral describes it as "bacterial SSU rRNA". It matches the Rfam family "Bacterial small subunit ribosomal RNA", at positions 54 to 869 of the family's 1533-position model. The record is from RNAcentral.